This is a long non-coding RNA of Bubalus bubalis (water buffalo), 1799 nucleotides long. RefSeq lists it as uncharacterized. The record is from RefSeq and is a predicted model, not a curated record. Lineage: Eukaryota; Metazoa; Chordata; Mammalia; Artiodactyla; Bovidae. The transcript has 2 exons.
CAGGGAGGGGAAGGAGGAGUGAGAGGUAUGGCUCAAUUUCAGGACUGGGAACUCUGACUGUUAGGAGAGAUAGGGACAUCAACAGGGUGUGUGGGCUGAACUGUCCCCCAGAUUCACAUGUUGAAGUCCUAACCCCUAGCACCUCAGGACAUGCCUGUAUUUGGAGAUGGGAUCUUUAGAGAGGCAGUUAGGUCAAACUGAGUUCAUAUGGAUGGGCCCUAAUCCAACAUGACUGGUGUCCUUAUCAGAAAAGGUUAGGGCACAGAAGAAUGAUCACGUGAGGAAACAGGGAGAAGGAACCAGCCCGUCAACACCUUGAUCUCGGCCUGCCGGCCUCCAGUGUCUGUGCUGCUUUAUUUUGGUGAACCAGGGCCACUAACACAGGGGAGGAGUGCAAUGUGGGCAGCCCUCCCCAGGAUGGGUGCCUUGUCCAGAGUCCCCUGGAGCUGGAGGGAGGCGGCUUGCAUCCUGCUGUUGCUCUGGUCAGGCAGAAGGCCUCGGAACUGGGAAUCUGGCUGGUGGUGGUGACCGGCAUCGCCUUUGUUGUUGGGGACACGAUCAGGCGUGUUUGUAUAGGACCAUGUGUACGGGACACGGAGCUAACACGGUGCCCUGAGGUCUCUGGGAGGAAGCAUGGAAAUUAAGCCACAGUGUAAAAAUGUCAGGUUCUAAGAGGCCUACGAUCCACCUGAAGUUUUCUUUCCUCUGUUAUUUAUUCUUCUGCCUCUUUCUGGGUGACUCCCAAGCCACGUCAUUAACACAUGCCCUGACCUGUAGGAUGUAUGUGCCAUCACAUAUUUGCCAGAAGCCAUGUGACAGCAGCCAGCACCCCAUGGGGACUGCAGCCUUUCCUGCCUAUGUGAGCUUUCAGUGACUGGGGAGGGGGUGGGCUGCCUUUGGUUUCUAGAGGACAUCGAUCGGGUCAUGUCCCAGUGAAACUGAUGUCAUUUCAGCCACCCCAACAACUGUCAACUCAGUUCACAGACUAAAAGAAAAUUUAAAAAUUUGAGGUGAUGGACAUGAACUAAAUUAUUUGGCAGUUACUACAAUACAUACAUAUAUCAGAUCAUUAUGUAGUACACAUUAAACUAAUAUAAUGUUAUAUCAAUUUUGUGUUAACAGAACUGGAAGAAAAAAGUUUAUGGAAAUAGUAAAGGUCUGAAUUUUCCAUUAAGGCACUCCGUAGAUUCCAAACUUUAAUGAUAAAAGCCAUCCAAAGUGAUUCAGUGAAGUGUUCUUUCUAACUAUGUUAGUUACUUAGAUUAUUUAAUAGCGGUACCCUGAAAAUGUACAUGUGGGAGGGCACUGUAUUCAGUUACUCACGGGUCUGGACCAGGCUUUCUUAUCAUGCUUUCAACCCAGGGAUGAUGCAGACCGAAGGUGAAAAGUUGGAUUGAGGGCGCACUCGAAUUCAGCGCAACUUCGUCUUAACCAUUCAAUAAUGUGUCAAGAUGGCAGAAUCAACAUAGAUGACCAUUUGGAUUCAAUUUAACAGAAAUGCAAUUAUUGAAUAGUUAAGAUGAAGUUGUGCUGAAUUUGAGUGUGCCCUCAAUCCGAUGACUGAGAUCCUUAUAAGAAAGGGAAGAGGAUGCAGAGACAAACCCACAUGGAGACAAAGGCAGAGACUGGAGCAAUGCUGCCACAAGCCAAGGACGCCAAGCACCAUCGGCCGCGCCCAGAAGCCAGAAGGGAGGCCUGGCGUGAUUUCUCCCUGGAGCCUUUGAGACAGCAGGCUGAUACCUUGGUUUCCACCUUUUCACCUUCAGUGCUGUGAGAGAAUACAUCUCUGUUGUUUUGCA